CUGUUCUGUUGUGAAAUUAUAAAUAACAUUUAAAUUAAUGAGCGGUGGGGGAAACAUGAAACCGCAGUCCGUCUUCUCUGUGGUUCGACUGGCAAAAACAAAUUUCAUGAGGAAAUUGCGUGAUGAAAAAAAUAAUCCAAUGAGCAGGUGUUUUAUUUUUAGUCAGAGGAACCAGUGAGUACACAUUAGAUCUGUGUGUACCCGGCACUGGAAUGAUGCUGAUCAUGUGACACAGCUGAACUCUGUGGGCCCUCACAGGCUGCCAGCAAAGGCACGGCACUUAAGGAAUGAGGAUCCGGCCGGUGCAGAUAUGAGUGUUUCUGUGUGAUGACUUCGCCUGGAGGUGAGAUUAAGGCUGUUCAUCCUCAGCUCCACUCUGGAACCUUCUCUCUUCUCUACUUCUUUCGUUAUUUUCUUUUUUCCUGGGGCAAAGAACAGUCAGAAAAAUGUCAGGCCUAUUGUCUGCACAGAUGAAACACAGCCGCCUCGUUCGGACACAUUCUUAUGUUUUAUUUUUUUAUUUUUUACCGGCAAACUAGGAAGCUUUCUUCAAUCUUAACACCUAAAAUACGAAAGCAUGCACAUAUGCGACAUAGAUAUUCCUCAAUCUCACAAAAUAAUUUAAGAAAAUCCUGGGAUGUUGUUUCUGAUCCAUUCCUAGUUGGAUAAUUGUGUCAAAGCACGCCUCGGCUUCAGAGCCAUCAGGCUGUGCCGCUUAAAUUGGACAUGUGGGUCUUUAUUCGGGUCUAUUAUGUGCUGAGUUGAGCCUGUGAUAAUAAAUGCUUGCAUCCACUUCUCGGGGUGUGCGGGGGUCAUGGACUGUCAUCCUGUAUCUGGGCCUCGGCUCAGCUCCAGCAGCACAGGGUUACUUGUAGAACAAGACGUGCCACAGUGGGGAAGAUCACAGUGGCGGCAGUUGCCUGGGAGUGUGUGUUUUUUCUGGUGUGUACACAAAGAACACUGUCACUCUGCAUUAGAGAUGGACAAACUCGAUCGGUUUGCGUGCUUGUGUG
This is a long non-coding RNA of Astatotilapia calliptera (eastern happy), 1013 nucleotides long. NCBI's taxonomy places the organism in Eukaryota, Metazoa, Chordata, Actinopteri, Cichliformes, Cichlidae. The record is from Ensembl.